RNAcentral lists this ribosomal RNA (465 nucleotides) under uncultured Acidobacteriota bacterium. RNAcentral describes it as "bacterial SSU rRNA". It matches the Rfam family "Bacterial small subunit ribosomal RNA", at positions 338 to 795 of the family's 1533-position model. The record is from RNAcentral. Lineage: Bacteria; Pseudomonadati; Acidobacteriota.
CCUACGGGCGGCUGCAGUGGGGAAUAUUGGACAAUGGGGGAAACCCUGAUCCAGCAACGCCGCGUGGAGGAUGAAGGUCUUCGGAUUGUAAACUCCUGUUAGGGGGGACGAAGGGAUGUCGGCGAACAGUCGGCAAACUUGACGGUACCCCCAGAGGAAGCCCCGGCUAACUCUGUGCCAGCAGCCGCGGUAAUACAGAGGGGGCAAGCGUUAUUCGGAAUUAUUGGGCGUAAAGGGCGCGUAGGCGGCCUUGUAAGUCUUGGGUGAAAUCCCUCAGCUCAACUGAGGAACUGCCUCGGAUACUGCAAGGCUUGAGGCCGGGAGAGGGUAGUGGAAUUCCCAGUGUAGCGGUGAAAUGCGUAGAUAUUGGGAGGAACACCGGUGGCGAAGGCGGCUACCUGGACCGGUUCUGACGCUGAUGCGCGAAAGCGUGGGGAGCAAACAGGAUUAGAUACCCCAGUAGUC